Micropterus salmoides (largemouth bass) is the source of this 2597-nucleotide RNA transcript. It is a transcript of the gene named G protein-coupled receptor 180, with no coding region annotated. The record is from RefSeq and is a predicted model, not a curated record. The transcript is spliced from 11 exons. Lineage: Eukaryota; Metazoa; Chordata; Actinopteri; Centrarchiformes; Centrarchidae.
GGUAACUUUGGAGAAGCUGGUUGACUUCUGGCUUCGUGGCUCAUUGAAUUCAUUCGCCAACUAUUUGUCGAUAACGUUAAACUGCAUACGGGGGAAAAUGUAUUCAUUAGCCGCACUUGUAGCUGUAGUUCUGCUCAGUUCGGAGGUUUUUGGGAAAACUGUAACGGGACUUUUUAAGAGCGAAGCAGCGAGACAGCAGAAGGGCCAGUUCAUCACUAAAUUCAUGUACCAAGGUGACAACGGCCUGCUGGUGUGCAGGCUGGACAACUCUGCUCUGGCUACAGAGAAGGAGUCCAGGUUGCUGUUGUAUCGGGAUAUGGACUCAGACCUGGACAACCUCAGCUGCCCUGAGAGGCUCGCUAAAGCUCAGUUCACCAUUUCUCUCAAUCAAGAAGAACUCAACCACACGAUCCCUCAUCAGUCCACACCUACAGCCUGGCAGGCCCUGUAUUCUGACAGAUACACAUGUCAGGAGAGUGCAGUGAUACCUUCUUAUGCUGAUCUCAGUUUUACUGUCUUGCUGUUUAACGCCGACUCGGCGGGAAAUCCACUGGAGCACUUCAGCGCAGAGGAGGCAGGUCUCCAAAGUUUCUACUUCCUCCUGCUGCUGGCCUACUUCGUGGCCUGCUGUAUCUACAUCAAGCCUCUGUAUCAGGCUCUGAGGAAAGGAGGUCCCAUGCACACUGUCCUCAGAGUGCUGACCACGGCACUGGCAUUACAGGGCUGCUCAGCUCUCUGCAACUACAUCCACUUGGCCAGGUAUUCCAGGGAUGGUGUUGGUAUUCCAGUGAUGGGCAGCCUGGCAGAGUUUUGGGAUAUGGUGUCCCAGGUGUCCAUGCUGUACAUGAUACUGAGUCUAUGUAUGAGCUGGACCCUGAGUCGAGGCAGGAAGCCUCAGUCCAGACCUCUGCAGUGGGAACAGAGUCCGGCAUCCACGGCGGUCGCUGUUGGUGGAGUCGUUACCCAGGGAGCGUUGCUGCUGUGGGAGCAGUAUUCAGAAGCAGAGAGUGAACAUCACAGCUACCACACCCAGCAGAGUCUGGCAGGUCUCCUCCUCAUGGCCCUGAGAGUGGCCCUGGCCCUCCUGCUGGCCUCUGUCCUCUAUCAGAUCACAUCAACUGAGAGGAGCACCCUGAAGAGAGACUUCUACCUCUGCUUCGCCAAGGGAUGCUUCCUGUGGUUCCUCUGCCACCCCGUCCUCUUCCUCAUGUCAGCUGUCUUCAACGAGCAUCAGAGGGAGAAGGUGGUGACCAUCGGUGUGAUCCUCUGCCAGUCCAUCUCCAUGGUGACCCUCUACCAGCUCUUCCUGUCUCGUUCUCUCUACUGGGAGGUCUCCUCUCUGUCCUCAGUGUCUCUGCCGCUCACCAUGUCGAGGACGAACCACAGGGGGCGCUACUGAGCGCACCCAUGCUUUACCAGAUCAUCAUGAGCGAGGGAGAACAUGCUACCACACGGAGGCUUGCCCUCCGUUAAGCUCCUUGAGAGGAGGGAGAACUUCUGAGCGUGAUGAAGAAGCAGAGAAGACGAGAAGUCCUGUUACUGUUUCCUGCAGACAAUUUAACAGGGAACUACAGCAUGGGUCACAGAAUGACCAGAGGAAGAUAUUUUCAGCUACACCCUACCUCUAGUUGCAAAGGAUUUUUGACUGGAACAUUACUGAGAGGAGAGAUAUUUAAUGCAGGGCUACCUAGAGAGGGUGCUCCAGGCUUUCAAGUGGUUUCUUGUGCUCACCAAAGUACAAUUUCAAAACUGACCAACACAAGCGUGAUGAAGACGCCAACGUCAGGAUUUUAGGAUGCAUGUGCUGGUGAGCUAGAUGUUAUGAAGAAAAGACUGACUAAUGUUAGAUAUAGUUCCUUGCACACAGUGCAGCAGACCAGAGGUGGAGAUGGUGGUUUAGUCAUCAAGGACAUAACCCACAAUCAGCACACUUGAGAGGAAAUUCACAAGCUGACAGCAUGAACUUAUAUAAACUGCAUGACACACUGCAUGCCUGAUCCUUUUCCAUUGACUGGAGCACCUGGGCUUUAAUGCUUCAGCUCUGUGUGAAUGGGAAUAAAACAUGACCUCAAGUGUGUUUUAACAACACAGCAGAUCAGGAGAAACCAAAGUCUGCUAAGAGCUACAGACAUGGCAUCUAAUGAACCCCACUAUGUAAAUACAAUGAUAUUCCCAAUUUCACACUCUUACUUUCUAAAAUGAUUCAGCUCUGGUAUUGGCACAUUGUGACUUCCUGUGUGUGCUCAUUAACCGACCUUUCAUUAGAGCCCAGUGGGAACAGGCCUGUAGUUUCAUUUGACUUUGACACGUUUCGUAUGCUGAAAAAUUAAAUUCCACUUAAACUGAUGGCUGACAUAGUUAUCAGCAUAGACAUGUUUAUUCAUCUUGUAUUUAUUUUUCAUAAAGCUAAAUCAGGUACUGCACAGCAUGAUGGUUAAUUUGAGUGUUUUAUGAAAUUACAUUAAUGCCUUUAAGUAGCUGUGAUUUAAUGACUUUAUUAACCGUUCUUUGUCUGCAAAAUUUUAAACAUUUCCUCACGCAGCAGGUACUUUCAGUUAUUUUGAGCAGGACCCAUUAAAAACUGACAAGGGCUUUGA